ACGGCCAUACCAUGCUAAAUAUACCGGUUAGACCACCGAAGUCAAGCAUCAUUGGGCGCGGUCAGUUCUUGGGUGGGUGACCACCUGGGAACAACGCGUACCGUU
Molecule: non-coding RNA, 105 nt
Organism: Caerostris darwini
Lineage: Eukaryota; Metazoa; Arthropoda; Arachnida; Araneae; Araneidae
Source: the annotation of a GenBank genome assembly